GAGGGAUGUUGGCGUGCUAUUACAUGCAAGUCGAACGAACUCUGGUAUUGAUUGGUGCUUGCAUCAUGAUUUACAUUUGAGUGAGUGGCGAACUGAAUGAGUAACACGUGGGAAACCUGCCCAGAAGCGGGGGAUAACACCUGGAAACAGAUGCUAAUACCGCAUAACAACUUGGACCGCAUGGUCCGAGCUUGAAAGAUGGCUUCGGCUAUCACUUUUGGAUGGUCCCGCGGCGUAUUAGCUAGAUGGUGGGGUAACGGCUCACCAUGGCAAUGAUACGUAGCCGACCUGAGAGGGUAAUCGGCCACAUUGGGACUUGAGAGACACSGSCCAAACUCCUACGGGAGGCAGCAGUAGGGAAUUCUUCMMCAAUGGACGAAAGUCUGAUGGAGCAACGCCGCGUGAGUGAAGAAGGGUUUCGGCUCGUAAAACUCUGUUGUUAAAGAAGAACAUAUCUGAGAGUAACUGUUCAGGUAUUGACGGUAUUUAACCAGAAAGCCACGGCUAACUACGUGCCAGCAGCCGCGGUAAUACGUAGGUGGCAAGCGUUGUCCGGAUUUAUUGGGCGUAAAGCGAGCGCAGGCGGUUUUUUAAGUCUGAUGUGAAAGCCUUUCGGCUCAACCGAAGAAGUGCAUCGGAAACUGGGAAACUUGAGUGCAGAAGAGGACAGUGGAACUCCAUGUGUAGCGGUGAAAUGCGUAGAUAUAUGGAAGAACACCAGUGGCGAAGGCGGCUGUCUGGUCUGUAACUGACGCUGAGGCUCGAAAGUAUGGGUAGCAAACAGGAUUAGAUACCCUGGUAGUCCAUACCGUAAACGAUGAAUGCUAAGUGUUGGAGGGUUUCCGCCCUUCAGUGCUGCAGCUAACGCAUUAAGCAUUCCGCCUGGGGAGUACGGCCGCAAGGCUGAAACUCAAAGGAAUUGACGGGGGCCCGCACAAGCGGUGGAGCAUGUGGGUUUAAUUCGAAGCUACGCGAAGAACCUUACCAGGUCUUGACAUACUAUGCAAAUCUAAGAGAUUAGACGUUCCCUUCGGGGACAUGGAUACAGGUGGUGCAUGRUUGUCGUCAGCUCGUGUCGUGAGAUGUUGGGUUAAGUCCCGCAMSGAGCGCAACCCUUAUUAUCAGUUGCCAGCAUUAAGUUGGGCACUCUGGUGAGACUGCCGGUGACAAACCGGAGGAAGGUGGGGAUGACGUCAAAUCAUCAUGCCCCUUAUGACCUGGGCUACACACGUGCUACAAUGGAUGGUACAACGAGUUGCGAACUCGCGAGAGUAAGCUAAUCUCUUAAAGCCAUUCUCAGUUCGGAUUGUAGGCUGCAACUCGCCUACAUGAAGUCGGAAUCGCUAGUAAUCGCGGAUCAGCAUGCCGCGGUGAAUACGUUCCCGGGCCUUGUACACACCGCCCGUCACACCAUGAGAGUUUGUAACACCCAAAGUCGGUGGGGUAACCUUUUAGGAACCAGCCGCCUAAAGGUGGACCAAAAAUGA
This 1487-nucleotide ribosomal RNA is filed under the name Lactiplantibacillus plantarum. RNAcentral's name for it is "bacterial SSU rRNA". Lineage: Bacteria; Bacillati; Bacillota; Bacilli; Lactobacillales; Lactobacillaceae. The record is from RNAcentral.